Penicillium expansum is the source of this 85-nucleotide transfer RNA. It matches the Rfam family "tRNA". From Rfam's summary of the family: Transfer RNA (tRNA) molecules are approximately 80 nucleotides in length. Their secondary structure includes four short double-helical elements and three loops (D, anti-codon, and T loops). The record is from Rfam. NCBI's taxonomy places the organism in Eukaryota, Fungi, Ascomycota, Eurotiomycetes, Eurotiales, Aspergillaceae.
GGCCGCUUGGCCUAAUGGUUAAGGCACCCGACUCCUAGUUAAUAGUGUCAUCGGGAGAUUGUGAGUUCGAAUCUCAUAGUGGUCG